This 877-nucleotide ribosomal RNA is filed under the name Dendrostoma sp. WJL-2020a. Its description in RNAcentral is "partial large subunit ribosomal RNA". It matches the Rfam family "Eukaryotic large subunit ribosomal RNA", at positions 33 to 941 of the family's 3401-position model. Lineage: Eukaryota; Fungi; Ascomycota; Sordariomycetes; Diaporthales; Erythrogloeaceae. The record is from RNAcentral.
AAUAGCAUAUCAAUAAGCGGAGGAAAAGAAACCAACAGGGAUUGCCCUAGUAACGGCGAGUGAAGCGGCAACAGCUCAAAUUUGAAAUCUGGCCUCGGCCCGAGUUGUAAUUUGCAGAGGAUGUUUCUGGCGCGGUGCCUUCCGAGUUCCCUGGAACGGGACGCCACAGAGGGUGAGAGCCCCGUAUGGUUGGACACCAAGCCUGUGUGAAACUCCUUCGACGAGUCGAGUAGUUUGGGAAUGCUGCUCAAAAUGGGAGGUAAAUCUCUUCUAAAGCUAAAUACCGGCCAGAGACCGAUAGCGCACAAGUAGAGUGAUCGAAAGAUGAAAAGCACCUUGAAAAGGGGGUUAAACAGUACGUGAAAUUGUUGAAAGGGAAGCACUUGUGACCAGACUUGUGCCGGGCGGUUCAUCCGGGGUUCUCCCCGGUGCACUCCGCCCGGUAUAGGCCAGCAUCGGUUCUUUCUGGGGGACAAGAACGGUGGGAACGUGGCCCUCCCUCGGGAGGGUGUUAUAGCCCGCCGUACGAUACCCUGGAGGGGACCGAGGUUCGCGCUCCGCAAGGAUGCUGGCGUAAUGGUCACCAGUGACCCGUCUUGAAACACGGACCAAGGAGUCGUCCAUUAGAGCGAGCGUUUGGGUGUCAAACCCGCACGCGUAAUGAAAGUGAAAUUAGGUGAGAGCUUCGGCGCAUCAUCGACCGAUCCUGAUGUUCUCGGAUGGAUUUGAGUAAGAGUUUUAACGGACGGACCCGAAAGACAGUGAACUAUGCUUGUAUAGGGUGAAGCCAGAGGAAACUCUGGUGGAGGCUCGCAGCGGUUCUGACGUGCAAAUCGAUCGUCAAAUAUGAGCAUGGGGGCGAAAGACUAAUCGAACC